AGCGGCAGGCUUAACACAUGCAAGUCGAGGGGUAACAGGUAGCUUGCUAUGCUGACGACCGGCGAACGGGUGCGUAACGCGUAUAGAAUCUGCCUUGUACAGGAGGAUAGCCUUUAGAAAUGAAGAUUAAUACUCCAUAAUGUUAAUGAAUGGCAUCAUUUAUUAAUUAAACAUUUAUGGGUACAAGAUGACUAUGCGUCCUAUUAGCUAGAUGGUAAGGUAACGGCUUACCAUGGCAACGAUAGGUAGGGGGUCUGAGAGGAUUAUCCCCCACACUGGUACUGAGACACGGACCAGACUCCUACGGGAGGCAGCAGUGAGGAAUAUUGGUCAAUGGAGGCAACUCUGAACCAGCUAUGCCGCGUGCAGGAUGACUGCCCUAUGGGUUGUAAACUGCUUUUAUACAGGAAGAAACCGAUCUACGUGUAGAUCCUUGACGGUACUGUAAGAAUAAGGACCGGCUAACUCCGUGCCAGCAGCCGCGGUAAUACGGAGGGUCCAAGCGUUAUCCGGAAUCAUUGGGUUUAAAGGGUCCGCAGGCGGUCAAUUAAGUCAGAGGUGAAAGCCCAUCGCUCAACGAUGGAACUGCCUUUGAUACUGGUUGACUUGAGUUAUACGGAAGUAGAUAGAAUAAGUAGUGUAGCGGUGAAAUGCAUAGAUAUUACUUAGAAUACCGAUUGCGAAGGCAGUCUACUACGUAUAUACUGACGCUCAUGGACGAAAGCGUGGGGAGCGAACAGGAUUAGAUACCCUGGUAGUCCACGCCGUAAACGAUGGAUACUAGUUGUUGGGUUUCGACUCAGUGACUAAGCGAAAGUGAUA
This 822-nucleotide ribosomal RNA is filed under the name uncultured Tenacibaculum sp. RNAcentral's name for it is "bacterial SSU rRNA". It matches the Rfam family "Bacterial small subunit ribosomal RNA", at positions 38 to 862 of the family's 1533-position model. The record is from RNAcentral. Lineage: Bacteria; Pseudomonadati; Bacteroidota; Flavobacteriia; Flavobacteriales; Flavobacteriaceae.